GAGCACGUAGCUCAGUCGGUAGAGCACCUGACUUUUAAUCAGGUUGUCGUGGGUUCGAUUCCCACCGUGCUCACCA
This 76-nucleotide transfer RNA is filed under the name Rickettsiales bacterium. RNAcentral describes it as "tRNA-Lys". It matches the Rfam family "tRNA". Rfam says of the family: Transfer RNA (tRNA) molecules are approximately 80 nucleotides in length. Their secondary structure includes four short double-helical elements and three loops (D, anti-codon, and T loops). Lineage: Bacteria; Pseudomonadati; Pseudomonadota; Alphaproteobacteria; Rickettsiales. The record is from RNAcentral.